GUCCCUCAGUUUGUCAAAACCUGAGAAGUGGAUGGUUGACGCUUCAAACCGCUGCCACUGCUUCUAUCAUAAAGACACCAAGCACGGAAGACACGGAUAAUACAGCUUCUUCUGCUUCACAUUUCAUUGGAUUUUACAUUUCUUAUCGUUUGAGGGACCAGGAGCGCAAUUCGUCCACCCGAGGAGGCACUUGGAGGAACAUGUGCUGGAAGAACAACAAUUACGAACGAUACUUUUUUUUUCACAGCAAUCGCAGGGAAGCUCAAAUUGAUUCUGAUUGGAUUUUUAGACAUGCGUGGGGUUUUGGUGCCUGAGACGCACUCUGAUGCUUAUCAAAAUUGUGUAAUCGAACACAGGCAUUGGUCGCUGAACUGAAAAUUUGUUCUUUAUAGAUAAAGAUCUUGGCGGGAAAAACCGCAUCGAUGCAUAGAGAAAAAAAUGUGACAAGGACGCGCGUAUGUCCUUGCUGUGAGCCACAUUCCAGGCCACGUGUUCGCCUAUUUACUCCCAACAGAGGGACGGGGUCUGACGUGAGUCACUUGUGUCCAGGGGGAUGGUGACACAGCCAGCGCCACGAGUUUACCAAACAAGCUUUAAAGUUCAGCCAUGUUUUAGUGUACACACUUCAAAGUGUGGCCGGUGUUUAAUAUGGGCUCUGGAGGAUAAACAACCCAAAGGAACGGAAAAAUAAAUUCUAGUAAUUCAUUCUUUUAGUUUCAGAGACGCGAUAUUGUUUGCCUGCAUUGUACCAUCACUAAUUAGGGGUUCUUGCUAAGUUGGCUGUUUGAGAUGGAAAUGGAGGAGGAUGCAGGUCCCGGCUCAUCUACUUUUCUCGGUAUCUUAGCCGAAAUGUCUUUUCCAGGGCUUGGCACUGUCCAUGCGCAUGUUUGGGGUGUCAACAACGCACCUGCCGCCUGCCGUCCCCUCUGGAACGCCAGCACGCGCCGCCGUGACACCCCCUCACCUCUCACCCACUUCACCCUGCUUCACCCUGCCAGCUAUAACCGGUUCAAGUCUUCUAUCACUCUUAUAAAUCAACACGUCGGACUCACCGCUCACAACCGUAGCGCAUGUUCUUGUGUGGCCCAUCUUUCUCUUUCCUCUCUCUUAAGUCUGGGACAGUUUCUAUUCCAGACAGGUGCUGGUGAUACAGCAGGUGUAGCGGGAGAUUUACUGAUUUCAUCGUAUUCUGUUGAGCAAUAAUUCUGAGCCUGGGGCACGAGGCAGGUAAACCCUCCGACCGCCUGCACCCGCUGACUCCUUCACAAGACGAGAGCAAUGCCCCACCGCAGAGAGAGAGAGAGAGAGAGAGAGAGAGAGAGAGAGAGAGGGGGACAAACUUCAUUAAUUUUCUCGUCUUGGCAUAGAAAUGCCAGUUUAAUAUUUAGCUACCAAAAGAAAAUCUAUUUACGCCACCUUUCAAAAUGUGAUUUUACAGUCUCUGUUCAACACUCACUCGUUGAAAAUAAAGGAAAAACAGUAAUAUGUAAUAUUUUCCGUUGUGAUAUUUUGUUGAAGUCAGAAAUGUAAUAUGCUGAAUUGGCGCUAUAGAAUAAUUUCAUCAUAUAUUAUUAUUUUGUGCGGAAACCAUGUCUUUACUGUCACCUUUUAAUCGGUUUGUAGAAUAUUAGUGAAAAUAUUCAUUAAAACUAUUCAAUUAAAAAAA
Puntigrus tetrazona (Sumatra barb) is the source of this 1666-nucleotide long non-coding RNA. RefSeq lists it as uncharacterized. The transcript is spliced from 2 exons. NCBI's taxonomy places the organism in Eukaryota, Metazoa, Chordata, Actinopteri, Cypriniformes, Cyprinidae. The record is from RefSeq and is a predicted model, not a curated record.